CUCAAUAUUCCACCUGAUACCUCCAACAGACUUAAGGAUUGCCUGACCAUCGAGAAAUGAAGGAGCAGUGUGUUGCCAACACUGAGUGGUGCACAGGGAG
Fundulus heteroclitus (mummichog) is the source of this 100-nucleotide long non-coding RNA. RefSeq lists it as uncharacterized. The record is from RefSeq and is a predicted model, not a curated record. NCBI's taxonomy places the organism in Eukaryota, Metazoa, Chordata, Actinopteri, Cyprinodontiformes, Fundulidae. The transcript is spliced from 3 exons.